Molecule: non-coding RNA, 29 nt
Filed under: Mus musculus (house mouse)
Lineage: Eukaryota; Metazoa; Chordata; Mammalia; Rodentia; Muridae
Source: RNAcentral
UAAGCAAAGGUGGCCACAUCUCACUGUGU